Long non-coding RNA from Prunus persica (peach), 624 nucleotides. RefSeq lists it as uncharacterized. The record is from RefSeq and is a predicted model, not a curated record. The transcript is spliced from 2 exons. NCBI's taxonomy places the organism in Eukaryota, Viridiplantae, Streptophyta, Magnoliopsida, Rosales, Rosaceae.
CCACAUGUGCCUUUCUUUUUCAUUGGUUCCCUUAUGUAUAUAUGAAUUUAUUUUAAUCAAAUUGACUUCCAUUUUUAAGCUCCACACCCAGUCAAUAAAUUUCGUAUAGAAUAUUGAAGUUUUUCACUAUAAAAAGGAAGCUGCUGUUACGCCCAUUGCAUGUAUUUUUGAGUGUUUGAUAAAGUAGGUGAUCUGAUCAACGCUUAAAACAGAGAAGGAUCAGAGAUGGGUUGGCUUUUAACGGCUUUCCUAAGCAGCUUGGUGGGGAUGUGUGUUGUUUUCUGCUGUGGCCUCUGUGGCUUCUGCUGUAUUGCUGCCACAGGCAACCGCCCCGGUCGAUAAAUGAUUUAUCAAUAAGAAAUAAUGGCUUGGAUGCGUGAGAUUGAUGUUGUCAUGUUGCUUUGGUUUUGCAACUUACGUAUGGUGCUUCCAUGCGUUCUGUUUGCCAAAUGCAAUACUGAUAUUCUAUCUUAACUUCCCAUUCCUUAGCUAGUUUGGUUUUCUUUUGGUUUUGAAUAUGACAUGUAAUGAUGACAAAGCAUCUCAUGAUGAUUUCUCAAUAAUGUGUGCUUGUAAUUUGAUGGAUUGGUAUUAAUAUCUUUGGUUGUACGUGUUAAGUUGAAA